GUCCUGCUGUGUCAUCUCCCCUCUUCUCUCCUCAGAAAUGUGGAGGCCUCUCAUGAAUAUCAUUCCACCUUUUCAUAUGAAGUUGCAGUAGGACUAAGAACGUCUUCUAUCGACUCUAGACAGAGGACACUUUGAUGAAGAGUCCAUUUAUAGAAAAUUGAGACGCAUAUUCUCAGUGGAUGAAGGCAACUGUAUCAUCUACAUUUUCCAUGACUCAGCCAUGCCCUUUGUUCUUGGAUGUGAAAAUCUGUUUUCACACUCAGUUGGAAAGCCAGCAUGGUUCGAACAGAUGGCUGCUGACCUUCAGGCAAUAGAGAGGGGAAGACAUUCCCAACUGCUCUCUUUACUUUGGAUAGUGAUCUCAUUUGGAGCAGCAGCCUGGAGAAGCAAACACCUGAAAAAUAGACUCUCUCUUUGAACACUAUGCUCUUCUGGAUAUCUGUUGUGAAACCCUAGGUUGCCAUAUUUUUAUGAUGUCGAUGCCUUGUAUCAGUUUCAUGUCCAUUAUUCUUUAUCUAUUGAAUACCAGUUCCUAACAUUGUAAUGCCUUCUAAGUUUAGAGGAUAUCUGAGUUCAGAAGCCAUGGGGUAUUGAGGUAUUGAAAUAUCUUUUCUUAUUUUUAUAAUCCUGCUCCUAGGAUAUGAUAGACACAGAAUGAAUUUUUACAAUGUAAAUGAUAGGAACUGUGUUGUGAAUGAUUAUAAGAUAUUUGCAUAUUAUGCACCACUCAGAAACGCAAAACAUUGUUAGAAUUAUCUCAUGCCAUAAUAAGAGCUUGAUAUAACUUAAUAAAUGGAAGAAAUGGUGCAUGAACUAGUGUGUCUGACCAACUCUAGUGUACAGUAUUUAGUUAAAAAUGUUUUAGACUUUUUCCUUUUCAUUACUCUGAAAAUAUGGUUCAGCCAGGAUUUAAACUAUUCCUCAAAAUAAUAAAGUACUUUUUAUUAUAGGCUGUA
Long non-coding RNA from Mus musculus (house mouse), 956 nucleotides. RefSeq annotates it as predicted gene, 42185. The transcript is spliced from 2 exons. NCBI's taxonomy places the organism in Eukaryota, Metazoa, Chordata, Mammalia, Rodentia, Muridae. The record is from RefSeq and is a predicted model, not a curated record.